This 711-nucleotide ribosomal RNA is filed under the name uncultured bacterium. Its description in RNAcentral is "bacterial SSU rRNA". It matches the Rfam family "Bacterial small subunit ribosomal RNA", at positions 83 to 775 of the family's 1533-position model. The record is from RNAcentral.
GUCCUGAGUAAAGCGGCGGACGGGUGAGUAACACGUAGGUAAUCUUCCCUUGAGCGGGGGACAACGAGCCGAAAGGCUCGCUAAUACCGCAUAAGUUCCCAGAGACCUCGGUUUCUGGGAGGAAAGCUAGGUAGCAAUAUCCGGCACUCGAGGAGGAGCCUGCGUCGCAUCAGCUAGUUGGUGGGGUAAUGGCCUACCAAGGCGAAGACGGGUAGCUGGUCUGAGAGGAUGAUCAGCCACACUGGGACUGGGACACGGCCCAGACUCCUACGGGAGGCAGCAGUGGGGAAUAUUGGACAAUGGGCGCAAGCCUGAUCCAGCCACGCCGCGUGAGUGAUGAAGGCCUUCGGGUCGUAAAGCUCUGUGGGGAGGGACGAACCGCCGGAGGCUAAUAGCUUCCGGCAUGACGGUACCUCCUUAGCAAGCACCGGCUAACUACGUGCCAGCAGCCGCGGUAAUACGAAGGGUGCAAACGUUGCUCGGAAUUAUUGGGCGUAAAGCGCACGUAGGCGGCUUAGCAAGUCGGAUGUGAAAUCCCUCGGCUCAACCAAAGGAAGUGCAUCCGAAACUGCUGAGCUUGAGUACUUAAGAGGAUCGCGGAAUUCCCGGUGUAGAGGUGAAAUUCGUAGAUAUCGGGAGGAACACCAGUGGCGAAGGCGGCGAUCUGGGAGGUUACUGACGCUGAGGUGCGAAAGCGUGGGGAGCAAACAG